AUUGAACGCUGGCGGCAGGCCUAACACAUGCAAGUCGAGCGGAGCGGCGGACGGGUGAGUAAUGCCUAGGAAUCUGCAUGGUCGUGGGGGAUAACGUCCGGAAACUGGCGCUAAUACCGCAUACUAUCAGAUGAGCCUAGGUCGGAUUAGAUAGUUGGUGGGGUAAAGGCCUACAAAGGCGACGAUCCGUAACUGGUCUGAGAGGAUGAUCAGUCAAACUGGAACUGAGAAACGGCACAGACUCCUACGGUAGGCAGCAGUGGGGAAUAUUGGACAAUGGGCGAAAGCCUGAGCCAGCCAUGCCGCGUGUGUGAAGAAGGUCUUCGGAUUGUAAAGCACUUUAAGUUGGGAGGCGUUACCAACAGAAUAAGCACCGGCUAACUUCGUGCCAGCAGCCGCGGUAAUUC
RNAcentral lists this ribosomal RNA (407 nucleotides) under uncultured bacterium. RNAcentral's name for it is "partial 16S ribosomal RNA". It matches the Rfam family "Bacterial small subunit ribosomal RNA", at positions 30 to 526 of the family's 1533-position model. The record is from RNAcentral.